UUUCUGUUAAAAGAACAGAACACAGAGGUGCCAUCAGAACCAUGUGAGAAGGGAAAUUCCCCUUCCCCCUCAGUAAAAAAAAACGGAUCAGGCCAUCUAAUAUUGCACAAACUGACACCUCUUUCCUAAAAAUAGCUGUCUGCACAUUCAGUCAAUGGGCUAAUCCAAUUGCCUGAACAUUCUUGGGUGCUUUAUCAUUCAAAUGGUAAUAAAUCACAACACUGGAACCAAGAACAUGCGGGGACCAGAUGAAAUCAGGGUGACAUGAUGUCAUUGAGCUGAAAAUUCAAUGCAUGCCCUGUUUUGUCUUAAAAAGUUGGCUUGAAGGUCUCUUUCAAAUUAGGGGGAUUUUCCAAAAAUCCCAGCCCCUGUCACAUUUUGAUUCACUAUUUCUUCCCUUCAUUUAUUUUGAAUAAUGAGCACAUGGGGCCUGCCUGUAAAUCCAUGGAACUCUGUUGAAAAAUUACUAUUGAAUCCAGAUUUUGGACCUGCCUGAUCGGGAAUUUUGCCGUAAAAUAUGGAAGAAAAACUAUCAUGCAUAUUUUAGGGCAGCUGAACUAACACAGUAAUGCUCCCAUGAGCUCCUCAGGAAUAUGCUUCCACAAACUAAUACUCACCAUUGUUCAAAAAAAUUUUGUUAGAUUUAGUUUCCCCUGGUUUCUUUCUAAAUAAAAAGUAAUGGGAUAAACCAGUUUUAACCCUCCUAAGCAGCCCCUUGUUCCUCAGAGCAACAUUCCCCUUGACCACCUUAAUGAAUUCCCUCCUCUCCUUGGUUUUAUGCAUGUUUCAGAUAUUUAUACAAGAUGUAUGAACAUAAAAGGAUUAUUCAUAACAUUAUUGUUUCUGAAACAGGGGACUAAAGCUAAACAUAAUCUGGUUCAAUCCCCAGCUGAUAUAAAUAUUCCUGCUCUCCUGGAAGUUGCUGGAUGCUGUGCUCCCAGUCAGGAAUUGCUUCCUGCAGGGAUGGGGAGAGGGAGAGCACUGGGGAAAAGUGGUGGAAACAAAACCAGGUCGCCUGUGGAUGGGAAUUCAUCCCAGAGUUUGGCUCUGCUGCCAGAGGGGAAGGUGUGAUGGGGCUGUGGCUCUGCUCACAGGUAAAGGUGGGGUGGAAAUGCAGCAGCACAGAAAUGAGCCUGACCCUGGAUAAGAACCCAGAGCCCUUACACAGCUCCAUCCCAGGAAUUGCAAAUUAUGUGGUUCAGCUCCUUCCUUCUCCUGCAUCUCCUGCCCUGCACUGCUGUGCACUUCAGCCCUGUCCAGUUCCAAAUUUAAAUUUAUUGCUGCAGGGUUUCAGUGACCAAGGGAAGCCCCUGGGGCUGGUGCAGGCUGGGGAUGGGCAGAGCUGGGAUGUAGGGAUGGGGAAUUUCCCAUCUGACUCCUUGUCCCCAGUGUAAAUGGGAGGUGGAGGGAGGGAGUGACCUGAUGAGAAAGAUGAUGAGGAUGGAAGGGGAAACUGAAGGAGAAAAAUGUGGGGAAGGGGGAAAAUAAACCAGGAAGGCUGUGUCCCACUAUAAACCCUGUGAAAGGGAAGGUGCUGGCCCAGCAUCAGCCGCUGGGAGAGGUCACUGCCCCAGUGCAGGACACUGGAGUGUCCCUGGGCAUGGAACAGGUCACUGCAGGGCACUUCCAAAGGAGAGCAGAGCUCACCUCCCUCACCUGCAGCUGCCCAGCCCUGCUGCAGGAUGCAGCCCUGCCUCCCCCUGGGCUGCUCAACAACCCCCAUGCACCCUAAACCGUCCUUUUUAACCCCAAACUGACACGUGGUAGUGCAGGCAGCAGUGCUGGCAUAUUUGGUGGGAGAUGCCACCCCUAUUCCCCUCCACUGGAAGCUGCAAUGAGCAGCAGCUGCUGAAAAUAGCCUUGGAGAGAAGCUCUGCUGCAGUCAGAGCACACCAGAAGAGCUCAGUGUUCCACCCUCCUUUCCUCACGUACUUCAGAAAAGUUAAUUAAAGGAGGCUGGGAUCUGCAAAGUGAGAAGCACCACUGCCAAAGCAGCUCCUCCAUGUUCCUUUUAUUCCUCCUCUGACCUGAACACAAGCACAGACCUCAUUCCUGCUCCUUCCAUGCCACAUUUCCACAAACUUAAUGCUUACAAUGUGGGAAGCAGCAGGAGAUUAUGGGAUGCUCAGAUAAGAUGGAUCUAAUGGCUGAGUUGCAGUUUAUAGGUGAGGACCAUCCAAGCUUGGCACAGAGCUCUCAGUGAGGCCUUCAGCCUCUGGCCUGGCAGCUGAAAGUCACCGUGGCCCUUUCAUGCUUCAGUUCCUGGUAGGAAGUUUGGUUUUCAUGCUUUACUAUGGUUUUCCUCCCAACUUUGAUCUUCACUCUUGGGAGUCUCAUUUACACUCAGCUGCAUCCUCAUCCCUGGCCUUAAUCUUUCAUAGCGGAGUGCCCUACUUAUCAAAGUGUGACAGCUCUCCUAACCCCCACCCACAGCCCAGAGGAGAUGCAGGAGCCUCUCCAACUGUUAGGAAAACAGAUAAGUUAAAUUGGCUAAGCUGCUUCUUGUCAUACUCCAAAUAUUUGGUCUCCCUUGCCAGCUUGAGGCUUAUGGAUUAAGGCCUUCGGUUCUCCAUCAAGAGCCCCCAAAUCCAGAGCGUCUGAGGGGUGUUUUUCAGAGUGUUUCCAUGGAUAACUGGUUAAUUUUGGCUCAUCAUCUUGCUGGACACUGCUUUAUUCUUGAGUUAUAGAAUUAUAGCAUGUCCUGAGUUGGGGUUAUUCUUGAAUUAUAGAAUUAUUGGAUGUCCUGAGUUGGGAGGGACCCACAGGGAUCAUCAAAUCCCACCUUGUCCAAAUGCUCCGGAGCUCUGGCAGCUCAUUCCCCAUUCCCUGGUGGGAAUGCUCAGUGCCCCACCACCCUCUGGGGAAAGAACCUUUUCCAAACACCCAACAAAACAUCCCCUGAUACCCCUCCCAGCCAUUCCCUCAGGUUGUGUCCCUGGUCAGAGAGAGCAGAGAUUUGAGGGCCACCUCAGAGAUGGAGAAUUCCCAUGUUCUCACUGUGUCAGCAGAGCCAGCAGUGCCAUGGUUUGGGAUGUGGUGCACGGGUAACCAACCUGCCCUCAGCCCUGCAGAGCAGGAGGAAAUCUCCUCCUGCCUCUGUGCUCCUGAAGAAUCCCUCAGGAGGAAAAAGAGUGGUUAGAGGUUGAUGAGAAAUGCCUUUUUUUGGGGGAAAAAAAAAAAAAUCUGAGAGGUUCUUUUAUUGGAGAGAACAGAAGGCUGAAAGUGAAACUUGAAAAUGGCAUCAAAGGGAGAAGCAGAGCUGGGAGCACACAGUUCUCAGUGUCCACUGGAGGUGAUGCCCACCAGACAGCUCUGGCAUUCUUCUCAAAGAGAAAAGCUCUGGUGUGCCAGCUCCAUCUGACAGAGGGGAUCUGCUGGGCUGCAGGCUGUAAUCCAUUUUGCCUGCGUUUGCUGGCCUGCUGUGGGUUGGUGACAGGUUUUUUCCCCUCAGCUUCCUCCUCAGCAGUCCAUUUAGAAGUGGCUCAUAUUUUGUUAUUACCUCUGAUGGUUUUGCAAAUGACCGUAUCUAGGAGUUAACUCUCAUUUAUGAUCUCCUCAGAUGAUAAAGUGGCUCUUUUAAGAGUCCUGUUGCUUGCCAAAAACCAAUUAUUGCAAAAGUCUGAAGCCAUUUCUGAAAUAAUUUAUUGGGCAACUGCACUCAGAGCAAGAAGCUCUCAUUUAAUACCAGUAUUUAAAUACAUUUUAAUGUACCCAUAACCAGAAAACCCAGAUGCCAUAGAUAUAAGCUUAGCAAUAUCUUUCUCUCCAAAAGAGCGGUUUUGCCCAGUCCUUAUUAAAUAUUUUGUUCAUCCCUGAGGCAGA
Molecule: non-coding RNA, 3822 nt
Organism: Taeniopygia guttata (zebra finch)
Lineage: Eukaryota; Metazoa; Chordata; Aves; Passeriformes; Estrildidae
Source: RefSeq, a predicted model, not a curated record